AACGAACGCUGGCGGCAUGCCUAACACAUGCAAGUCGAACGAGACCUUCGGGUUUAGUGGCGCACGGGUGCGUAACGCGUGGGAACCUGCCCUUAGGUUCGGUAUAACUCCCCGAAAGGGGUGCUAAUACCGGAUAAUGUCUUCGGACCAAAGAUUUAUCGCCUUUGGAUGGGCCCGCGUUGGAUUAGCUAGUUGGUAGGGUAAAAGCCUACCAAGGCGACGAUCCAUAGCUGGUCUGAGAGGAUGAUCAGCGACACUGGGACUGGGACACGGCCCAGACGGCUACGAGAGGCAGCAGUGGGGAAUAUUGGACAAUGGGCGAGAGCCUGAUCCAGCGAGGCCGCGUGAGUGAUGAAGGCCUUAGGGUUGUAAAGCUCUUUUACCCGGGAUGAUAAUGACAGAACCGGGAGAGUAGGCUCCGGCUAAUACGGU
This 432-nucleotide ribosomal RNA is filed under the name uncultured bacterium. Its description in RNAcentral is "partial 16S ribosomal RNA". It matches the Rfam family "Bacterial small subunit ribosomal RNA", at positions 29 to 506 of the family's 1533-position model. The record is from RNAcentral.